GGGGCCUUGGCGGGCCGGGGUGCCGGGGCCGCCUCGGGCGCGGCCGGGGCCGGACCGCCCCGGGUCAGUCCGGCCUUC
RNAcentral lists this transfer RNA (78 nucleotides) under Streptomyces albidoflavus. RNAcentral describes it as "tRNA-Pro". RNAcentral also lists the same sequence under 2 other names. Lineage: Bacteria; Bacillati; Actinomycetota; Actinomycetes; Kitasatosporales; Streptomycetaceae. The record is from RNAcentral.